Molecule: long non-coding RNA, 470 nt
Filed under: Pan troglodytes (chimpanzee)
Lineage: Eukaryota; Metazoa; Chordata; Mammalia; Primates; Hominidae
Description: lncRNA (ENSPTRG00000054052.1)
Source: RNAcentral
AAGAUUCAACUAAUUAAUCCUUCCAAUUUUGUUGGGAGAAAGUGCUGUAAUACCUUCUUUUUUGCAUGCCCUUACUGUUUUAGGGACUUAAAAUUGGGGCCUUAUGUAGAUCAUUACUAUAGAGACUACCCAACGCUUGUCAGAACUACUGGACAAGUGUGCACAAUUGAUCCAGGAUUUACGCAUCAUCCAUCAUUUUUUACGUCUGAGCCACCAAGUAUUUAUCAGUGGGUGAGUUCUUGUCUGAAGGGUGAAGGAAUGCCGCCUUAUCCUUACCUCCCUGGAAUCUGUGAAAGAAGCAGACUUGUAGUCUUGGUAUGUAUGUGGAGUGUUACUACCUAUCUCCUUUUUCUUUUAAAAUUUGGUUUUCAAAAGUACACCUGAUAUUAAGUUUUUCUUUCUGUGUAUAGUUCUGUGAAUUUCAGUACGUGUAUAGAUUCAUGUAAUUACUACAAUGAGGAUAUAGAACA